CAACCCUCAAGCUCUGCUUGGUGUUGGGCCCCGCCGCCCCGGCGGGCCCUAAAGUCAGUGGCGGUGCCGUCCGGCUCCGAGCGUAGUAAUUCUUCUCGCUUUGGAGGCCCGGGCGCGUGCUUGCCAUCAACCCCCAAUUUUUUUCA
RNAcentral lists this unclassified non-coding RNA (146 nucleotides) under Gymnostellatospora canadensis. RNAcentral's name for it is "partial internal transcribed spacer 2". The record is from RNAcentral. Lineage: Eukaryota; Fungi; Ascomycota; Leotiomycetes; Thelebolales; Pseudeurotiaceae.